Molecule: ribosomal RNA, 405 nt
Filed under: uncultured bacterium
Lineage: Bacteria
Description: bacterial SSU rRNA
Rfam family: Bacterial small subunit ribosomal RNA
Source: RNAcentral
GUGGGGAAUCUUGCGCAAUGGGCGAAAGCCUGACGCAGCCAUGCCGCGUGAAUGAUGAAGGUCUUAGGAUUGUAAAAUUCUUUCACCGGGGACGAUAAUGACGGUACCCGGAGAAGAAGCCCCGGCUAACUUCGUGCCAGCAGCCGCGGUAAUACGAAGGGGGCUAGCGUUGCUCGGAAUUACUGGGCGUAAAGGGAGCGUAGGCGGACAUUUAAGUCAGGGGUGAAAUCCCAGAGCUCAACUCUGGAACUGCCUUUGAUACUGGGUGUCUUGAGUGUGAUAGAGGUAAGUGGAACUCCGAGUGUAGAGGUGAAAUUCGUAGAUAUUCGGAAGAACACCAGUGGCGAAGGCGACUUACUGGAUCAUUACUGACGCUGAGGCUCGAAAGCGUGGGGAGCAAACAGG